Camellia sinensis is the source of this 960-nucleotide non-coding RNA. Lineage: Eukaryota; Viridiplantae; Streptophyta; Magnoliopsida; Ericales; Theaceae. The record is from RefSeq and is a predicted model, not a curated record.
GAACCAAACACAACAUUAAGGUUUUUAUAUAUUUCUAAGGUGUUGUUCUAAUUUUAAAUUUUAAAAAGCUUCAAUCCAUAUGCCACGAAUUGGGUAUCAAGAUGGAUCAGAUCGGUCAGAAUGGUAUACCGUUGAGCGUCUUCUACGAAAAUAUGCUGCUUUAUAUGGCAUAAAGAUUUUUGUGUAUUAUUUUCGACGUUCAUCUUGAGGCCGGAGGCUGAACAGUGUAUUUAGCAAUUGCCACUAACAUAUCCAUGGUGUUGUAUCUUUCAGAUAAUUGACAAUGAAUUAUGUUGACUUCAUUCCAUGUUUGUGAACGUUCCAACUUCACUUUCAAUUUGCCGUCUUUGCUUUAGCUGGAGUGUUUGGAAAUCAGCCUUGUCAAUAGGGUGUUUGAAUGCAUAUUUUCCUUUACAGGUUAGUGCUCUUAUUUAUGCUUACAAACUGUCAUGGUUUAGAUGAUUCAGAGAGCAUCCAAUACACUCAAGAAGUAUUCGAUACUAAUGAAAAAUUAAAGAAAACUAAUUUCUAAUUACGGAUACAUUUAGAAAGCAAUGGAUAUGUAGCUGCAAGUAUUCGAGGAGUAUCAGUAUUUGAUGUGAAUACAACUCCCCUGGAUAAGCAUCUUUGCCUUGGUUUAUACCCAUUUUUUUUGGGUACGGAAACAAUAAAGCCAGGAUUUUAUUUAUAUCAUGAUUUCAAAAUUAGUUACAACUUUGUAAGGUUAGUUUGAGCCUAUUUGGUGCAACUUUCUGCAAGUUAAAAGUUGAUAAUUAAAAAAUAGAAGCGAAAAGCAUAUCUCUUUCACCUUUUUGAUACUCAAAUUUUAAGCUUGUUUAAGUUAUUUUCGCCUCCUAAACUUUUAAGUAGAAGAAACUGUACUAAAAUUCUGACAUAGAUUAAAAAAAAAAAAAGAAAAAAAAAAAGCUAUAGAUAGUCUCAAUAAAUUGUACCAAACAU